AUGUUGGCUUUGAUCAGGAAUAGUAGUUCUACCGCUUAUUUUAAGAGAGCAGACGGCAGGUGCAAGUCUGUAGUAACGUAGAUCGAACUCGCCUAGGAGUCUGUAUUAGUGAAGAGAUGUAACUGAUACCGUGAUCCGCGUUAAGGAAUCAAGUUGGACGGAGAAAUCCGUUAAUUUGGGUGGUACCGCGGGAAGCUAUAUAGGCUCUCGUCCCUGUG
RNAcentral lists this non-coding RNA (218 nucleotides) under Sporosarcina newyorkensis. RNAcentral describes it as "T-box sequence". It matches the Rfam family "T-box leader". Rfam says of the family: Uncharged tRNA acts as the effector for transcription antitermination of genes in the T-box leader family. T-boxes are found upstream of many aminoacyl-tRNA synthetase genes and some amino acid biosynthetic genes usually in Gram-positive bacteria. Lineage: Bacteria; Bacillati; Bacillota; Bacilli; Caryophanales; Caryophanaceae. The record is from RNAcentral.